CCAAAGGCUCUUUUAAGAGCCACCCCCAUGUCCACAAAGAGAGCUGU
Otolemur garnettii (small-eared galago) is the source of this 47-nucleotide non-coding RNA. The record is from Rfam. Lineage: Eukaryota; Metazoa; Chordata; Mammalia; Primates; Galagidae.